RNAcentral lists this ribosomal RNA (231 nucleotides) under Rhodosorus marinus. RNAcentral's name for it is "partial Bacterial small subunit ribosomal RNA". It matches the Rfam family "Bacterial small subunit ribosomal RNA", at positions 1178 to 1429 of the family's 1533-position model. Lineage: Eukaryota; Rhodophyta; Stylonematophyceae; Stylonematales; Stylonemataceae. The record is from RNAcentral.
GAUGACGUCAAGUCCUCAUGGCCCUUACGGGUUGGGCUACACACGUGCUACAAUGGUAGUGACAAUGGGUUAAUCCCAAAAAGCUAUCUCAGUUCGGAUUGGGGUCUGCAACUCGACCCCAUGAAGUCGGAGUCGCUAGUAAUCGCAGAUCAGCAACGCUGCGGUGAAUACGUUCCCGGGCCUUGUACACACCGCCCGUCACGUCACGAAAGUCGGCAACACCCGAAGCCG